Molecule: ribosomal RNA, 805 nt
Filed under: uncultured Psychrobacter sp.
Lineage: Bacteria; Pseudomonadati; Pseudomonadota; Gammaproteobacteria; Moraxellales; Moraxellaceae
Description: bacterial SSU rRNA
Rfam family: Bacterial small subunit ribosomal RNA
Source: RNAcentral
ACCCGUUGUUCGAUGGCGAGGCAGCCUUCUGGCAUCAUACUGACACUGAGGCUCGAAAGCGUGGGUAGCAAACAGGAUUAGAUACCCUGGUAGUCCACGCCGUAAACGAUGUCUACUAGUCGUUGGGUCCCUUGAGGACUUAGUGACGCAGCUAACGCAAUAAGUAGACCGCCUGGGGAGUACGGCCGCAAGGUUAAAACUCAAAUGAAUUGACGGGGGCCCGCACAAGCGGUGGAGCAUGUGGUUUAAUUCGAUGCAACGCGAAGAACCUUACCUGGUCUUGACAUAUCUAGAAUCCUGCAGAGAUGCGGGAGUGCCUUCGGGAAUUAGAAUACAGGUGCUGCAUGGCUGUCGUCAGCUCGUGUCGUGAGAUGUUGGGUUAAGUCCCGCAACGAGCGCAACCCUUGUCCUUAGUUACCAGCGGGUUAAGCCGGGAACUCUAAGGAUACUGCCAGUGACAAACUGGAGGAAGGCGGGGACGACGUCAAGUCAUCAUGGCCCUUACGACCAGGGCUACACACGUGCUACAAUGGUAGGUACAGAGGGCAGCUACACAGCGAUGUGAUGCGAAUCUCAAAAAGCCUAUCGUAGUCCAGAUUGGAGUCUGCAACUCGACUCCAUGAAGUAGGAAUCGCUAGUAAUCGCGGAUCAGAAUGCCGCGGUGAAUACGUUCCCGGGCCUUGUACACACCGCCCGUCACACCAUGGGAGUUGAUUGCACCAGAAGUGGAUAGCCUAACCCUUCGGGAAAGGCGUCCACCACGGUGUGGGUUGAUGACUGGGGUGAAGUCGUAACAAGGUAACCA